AUAAUUUCCUAGUAAUUUCUAAAACGGUGUAUUAGUUUAUAUUCUAAAUGCAACCCCACAGAGCUUUGAAAUUUGUAGCCUCCCUAACCUCAGAAAAAUCAGAUGAGAAAGAUGUAUUUUGGGGUCUCAUAUCCCUGAUGUAGGCUUUAUUGUGUCUGCAGUUUAAUCAUCCAGCUCUCACAGAGAGGGAAAGAUGAUUUUGUACUUCUAAGAUCAUCUCUAUGUUUACAUUACUCAGUCCACAAGGAUAUGAAAAUCCCAAACUGUCCCUCUGAAAAUCCAUUUAGUGGGUAGAAAAUACCAGUGCCAUGGAUCGAGCAUCCACUAGAAAGGAUGCUGAAUCUUGUUUUGACACUUUGAAUUGGAUCUGUAGCUUUGAGGUUGGACACAGAGACUUCCAAAUGGAAAGUAACUUGCUGUGUUUCUUCAUGUGGACAGAAUUCCCCAAAACAGAGAUAGAAGUCAGAACUGUGUGUUGAGAAAACAUUGCAAUGAUUGUGCUAUAGAGCGGAUUAUUUUACUGGAAUUUUUGCAUCUCUUUUUCUUUACAUAUUGUAUAACUGAUUCUGUUACAGAGGUGUCAAAAAUAGAAAACAUG
This 598-nucleotide long non-coding RNA is filed under the name Cyanistes caeruleus (blue tit). RNAcentral's name for it is "lncRNA (ENSCCEG00000009729.1)". The record is from RNAcentral. Lineage: Eukaryota; Metazoa; Chordata; Aves; Passeriformes; Paridae.